GGGGCUGGGGCUCAGUGGUAGAGCACUUGCCUGGCAUGCAUGCGGCCCAGGUUUGAUCCUCAGCACCA
This 68-nucleotide transfer RNA is filed under the name Ictidomys tridecemlineatus (thirteen-lined ground squirrel). RNAcentral describes it as "Spermophilus tridecemlineatus (thirteen-lined ground squirrel) tRNA". It matches the Rfam family "tRNA". From Rfam's summary of the family: Transfer RNA (tRNA) molecules are approximately 80 nucleotides in length. Their secondary structure includes four short double-helical elements and three loops (D, anti-codon, and T loops). Further hydrogen bonds mediate the characteristic L-shaped molecular structure. tRNAs have two regions of fundamental functional importance: the anti-codon, which is responsible for specific mRNA codon recognition, and the 3' end, to which the tRNAs corresponding amino acid is attached (by aminoacyl-tRNA synthetases). tRNAs cope with the degeneracy of the genetic code in two manners: having more than one tRNA (with a specific anti-codon) for a particular amino acid; and 'wobble' base-pairing, i.e. permitting non-standard base-pairing at the 3rd anti-codon position. Lineage: Eukaryota; Metazoa; Chordata; Mammalia; Rodentia; Sciuridae. The record is from Rfam by way of RNAcentral.